Molecule: long non-coding RNA, 137 nt
Organism: Pelmatolapia mariae (spotted tilapia)
Lineage: Eukaryota; Metazoa; Chordata; Actinopteri; Cichliformes; Cichlidae
Exons: 4
Source: RefSeq, a predicted model, not a curated record
CAAGACACGCCAACUUCACAGCACAGUUGGGCAUUCAGAUAGUUGAUGACAAAAAGAUGUUGAAUAUUAAAAAAAUCUUUUCGGGUAAUCGCUCACCACCUUCUCUGUUAAAGGUAGAAGAGAGGAGCAUACCAUGG